This 5043-nucleotide ribosomal RNA is filed under the name Triticum aestivum (bread wheat). RNAcentral describes it as "partial small subunit ribosomal RNA". The record is from RNAcentral. Lineage: Eukaryota; Viridiplantae; Streptophyta; Magnoliopsida; Poales; Poaceae.
AUGCUCCGUUUCCCAUCUAACAAGAGCUCGUCUAACUUCUCUUGGCCCCUGGCUGACGCUUUUAAUGCAUUCAUUAGGGACACGGCUAUUCGUGAGAUUCCUAGGGUUGGCGCCCGUUUCACUUGGUCCAACCACCAAACUCCCCCAAUUCGUUCGAUUCUUGAUAGGGUUUUUGUUUGCUCUAGGUGGGAUUCCUUAUUCCCCCGUGCCAGUCUUAGAGCCCUGGCUUGUGUUGGUUCUGAUCACACCCCCUUGAUUCUUGAUGAUGGUUUGCGCCUAGCGGGCUUUCCGACAUUCCAGUUUGAUGCUUCAUGGCUCCAAGUGGAGGGGUUUAAUGAGUUGGUGGCACAAAAGAUUCUGUCUUUCCUCUCCUCUACUCGACGUUCUUUUAGCCCUAUGGAUGACUGGCAUCAAUGCUCCUAUUUUUUGCGUAGAUUUCUUAGAGGCUGGUCUAAAAACCACUACGCUGAGUCUAGGCGGGACAAAGCUAGGCUGCUGGCUCAAAUUGGCGUUUUAGAUGAUCGCGCCGAUAGUACUGGGCUGUCCUCGUCUGAAUGGCAAACCCGAUAUGGUUUAGAACAGGCGCUACUGGGCAUCCAUAGGCAAGAGGAAGUAUACUGGAAACAACGAGGUACUAUCAACUGGACCUUAAAGGGUGACUCUCCUACGUCUUAUUUUUUUGCGAUUGCUAACGGCAGGCGCCGGAGAUGCAUUAUUGAUAGCCUUUUGAUAGACGGCGUCAGGGUCUCUGACCCAUCGGUGAUCAUGCGGCAUGUGGUUGAUUUCUUCUCUAACCUCCUAGCUGAUAAGCCCGUGCUAGGCUUUAAGUUGGCCUCGACCUUUUGGUCUCCUCUGGACCAGCUGUCGGGUGCUGAUAAUGAGAGUUUACUGAUCCCUUCCACGGAAGAGGAAAUAUUCGAGAUGAUCCAGACUGGCAACCCGAAUGCGACUUCUGGGCCUGAUGGCUUUUCCAUCCCUUUUUUUCGGCAAUUCUGGCCUCAGCUAAAGGGAUUAAUUAUGGCUAUUUCUCAAGGCUUUUGGUUGGGGACUGUUGACAUCUCCAGACUUAACUACGCUGUUCUCACCCUCAUUCCUAAAGUCAAAGGCGCUGACUUGAUAUCCCAAUUUAGACCCAUUGCUUUGAUUAACAAUUUUGCUAAGUUUCCUGCCAAGGGUAUGGCUACUAGGAUUUCUCCGAUCGCCCAUCGGGUUAUUAGCCCCUUCCAAUCCGCGUUCAUUAAGGGGAGAUUCAUUCUGGACGGGGUGCUUUGCCUUCACGAGAUAAUUCAUGACCUUCACUCAAAGCACUCUAAGGUUGUAGUUCUUAAACUUGAUUUUGAAAAAGUGUAUGACUCAGUCAGCUGGAGUUUUCUUCGCCAAGUUCUGUUGGCCAGGGGCUUCGAUGGUGCGGUGGUACACCGCCUGAUGCAACUUAUCUCUGGUGGGCACACGGCGGUGGCUGUCAAUGGCCAGACCAAUAACUUCUUUGCCAACGGUAGGGGCCUAAGGCAAGGAGAUCCAGCGUCUCCCCUGCUUUUCAAUUUUGUGGCUAAUGCCUUAUCUCAUAUUCUGUCUAGGGCUGCGGCUGCUGGUAACAUCUCGCCGGUUAGCUCCCAUCUUAUUCCUAAUGGCAUCUCCCACCUCCAGUACGUGGACGACACCAUCACGAAUAUGAAAUUUCUUCUUCUUUGCUUUAAAGCCUUGUCGGGCCUUAAAAUCAACUUUUCUAACAGUGAGGUCAUUGUGACUGGGGUAUCUGUCUCGGAAGCGCAGAGGGUCGCACAUCUCUUGAACUGCUCGCUAGGGUCCUUUCCUCUCAAAUACUUGGGCCUACCCAUCUCCCGGCUUAAGAUUUUGGCCAAAGAGUUUGCACCGGCUGUUACUAAAGUUGGCAAUAGAGUUUUUCCGUGGCGAGGGCGCUAUAAUUCUCAGGCGGGCAAGGUCGCCCUUACCAACUCCUGCCUUUCCUCUCUCCCGAUGUUUCUAAUGGGCUUCUAUCUUCUAUCAGAUGGGACUCCCACUGGUUUCGAUAAGCACAGGGGUGCCUUUUACUGGAAUUCCUCCGAUAACAAACGCAAAUAUAGGAUGGUUAAAUGGGACCUCAUUUGUAGACCUAAGAACAUGGGGGGCCUUGGCAUCAUUAACACCAGAAUCAUGAAUAAGUGUCUCCUGUUAAAGUGGUGGUGGAAGAUUAUGUCCCUUGAUGAUCGUCCUGCUUGGCUAAACCUUCUCAAAGAUAAAUAUUUUCCCUUCUCGAGUCCUAUGUUCGCUUUCUCUUCUGGUGGCUCUCAAUUUUGGCGCCAGCUUGUUAGUAUUAGACCGAUAUUUCAGUCCCUGGUGAAAUUCGUAGUCCGUAACGGCAAUUCUACGCGUUUUUGGUUAGACUGGUGGGUUGGAGACACCACCCUUGCGGUGGCUUAUCCGACUCUGUUUUCGUUUUGUGAUAACCCUGAGAUCUCUAUCUCUGAGCUCUCGGCCCAGGGGUGGGUUUUAGAUUUCCAGCGCUCUCUUUCCCCUGUGGAGUUGGAAGAAUGGCAACGCCUUACUGCCUGCUUCCCCCUGCUCUCGGAGGAAGAGGACUCCGUUUUUUGGCCUCACACCCCUUCGGGGCGUUUUUCUGUUAAGUCGGCCUAUUCGCGUCUAAUCGCUGGUGUUCGCUCUGACAAGUUUAAACCAGUUUGGUCUGCCCGCAUACCUCCUAAGAUCAAAAUCUUCCUUUGGCAAGCUCUUCAUCGCAAACUCCCUGCGGGUGACCAGAUUAAAAAGAGGAAUGGGCCGGGUUCUGACAGUUGUCAACUGUGUGGCGCCCUAGAGAAUACAAAGCAUAUAUUUUUCCAGUGCUCAUUAGCUAAAUUCAUCUGGAGUUGCAUUAGACUUUGGCUCCAUGUUCCCUGGAACCCUGCCUCUUUUAAGGAUCUUCGGCGAUGUAUCAAUACUCUAGCAGGCCGGUCUAAACGGGUUUUCAUGGUGGGCUGGGCAGCGGUCUAUUGGGCGCUUUGGACUACUAGAAACAAGUUCACUAUUGAACACAUUUUCCCGGCUAACCCUUCAACCCAAACAGCCACACGACCCACAAUCCAAUCCCACCUCUUGCGCGCCGCGCACUCCUGCCCCGCCCCGCCGCCGGUUCCCGCCUCGCCGCCGGUAUCUGCCCCGCUGCCGCGCGCCGCCAACCCCGCCCCUACCCCUACCCCUACCCCAAGUCCCCCCACCCUCACAGCCUUCCACCGCCAGCGACACUCGACGCUGCGGCCAUUGCCGGCUCCCCCAACCCCUGCUACCACGGCGCCGUUGGGAAUCCUCCCCGCCACCUGUUGGAACCGCCCGCCUGGCUCCCGCUGCGAACAUCACCGCCACCUCUCUGUCGAUUCCCACCCCAGCGGAUGGUCCCCUCACCUGCGCUCGCAUCCUCAGACUUUGACCAAAAACAAGCCGGGAUCCGAUAGUGCCCCACAGUUCGCCGGAGUUUCAUCGGCCGGUUCUACGCUUCAGGUAUGUGGACAAGGAGGCUUGAAAUCAUGGUCUUUGUUCUCUGGCAACCUGCAGUUCGUUGGUGACAAAUUGAUUUUUGUUGCAAUGGUUGCUAAAUCCUACGAGGGCCUACAGGUGUUUGAGGCAGGAAGGGUGAUUAGAAUCGAUGAGGAGCAGCAAGAAGCAGCAACCAUUGCCGGCCUAGCUGCUUAUAGGGACAACCAGACGGUGUAUUAGUGUCUCGAUCUAAUUCAUUUAACCACACAUAUCAUCCAUGGAUUGGAGAGAGUGAGAGGCCCAAGAUAAUCCACUUGAUAUUGCAGGUAUAAUGGUGCAAUUCACACAAAUGAACAAGCUUAACAAGAUUGCUUGCAAGGUACUCAAAUGAUUUGAAUUUCAAGCUCUUCUUUUUUCUUGGUUACCAGUCUGUAGUAGAUGAUAAAUAUUGGUGCUCACUUCCUCUGCUAUAAUCAGAUUUUACAGAAAACUAAUAGCUGGUUUCAUUGAACAGAUCUUGCAUGGUUUGCUGCUUAUCUAAUAGUUAGUUUGGUAUGUCUUUGAGAAACAGUAGGCAUUCUUACUAGAUGUAUUUUAUUUUUGUGUUUUUGAUAAUGUACACAACCAUGACAUUUUUCUAGAAUAUUGUUGCUUUCACAAUAAUAAGUUUGAUAACGUUCAUAACCAUGGCAUUCUUACUAUGAUGCAGCAAUGCGCAGCUAGCUAGGUGUAGCUAAUACAAUAAGUUUGCUUUUCACUUCAGAAUUCAGAGGAACUCAACGUUUGUUUUAUAGUUCAAACCAAUUACUGGUAUAUUCCAAAAUGAUAUUGUCUCGUGGUACUAGGUUAUCAAAAUAUAAUCUUCACCAUGGCCAAAGGUAAAUUUCAUUCAGGGUAUUAGUUUGUUUCAUCCACCAAGACAAACAACUGGUGGUAUAUGGCGAUGAGAUGGGCUUCUUCAGCUCUUUAUUUGGCAGUUCUCUUCUCGAUUCCCCUCUCUGUUGUGAUGAAAUUUCAGCAACACAAAUUUGUGGUCUUGUCAGGUAAUCAUGCUGAUUGAGAAAGAAAUGGUACCCCGGGACUAUGUAUUGUACUAAUAUUCAGAAAAAUGUAUGUUUGUAUCUCUUUCAGGUCUGUGCUAGCUAUUUCUUUGAACGAUAGACAAUAUGUGCAAAAGGAUGAUGCCCAUACGGCUAAAUUUCUCUUUUGUAGGUUUAAUAAAAUGGUCUUCUGUGGGCUACAAACCAAAGCUUGCUUGCAUACACUCUGGUACUGUGCUGAGUAACCAUCAGUUGCUGAAUCCAUUCUCUUGUGAAUACUACUACUGUAUCUCUCUCAUCUCUUGUGUUGAGUGAGCGCUUGCGACGGGACAUAAAAGAACAAAGAGCACAUGAAGUGUACAAAUGAAGUCACAAUGAGCUAAUGUAGAGCGGCUGACGAUCAGAUGAUUUCGGGUCCGUGCUACCUAUUUCUCAUUUUAAGCUAUUCCUUCAGGACACAUGAUUACACUACAUUACAAGCUGAAAAAAUGUGCAAAGUUGAAGUUGGUACUAAAGCGGAUUGCUCUUUUUGAUC